AAUACUAAGGCAUCGCAAGCAUGGCAGUUGCAUCACCAUUGCAUCAGUAAGUGGCAGAGAGGAGAGAGGCCAUGUCUACGCUCUGUGUUCUGACAUGUGAACAUCUGAAUGGUUAGUAGGCUUGCAUU
Grammomys surdaster is the source of this 128-nucleotide small nucleolar RNA. RefSeq annotates it as small nucleolar RNA SNORA17. The transcript has a single exon. Lineage: Eukaryota; Metazoa; Chordata; Mammalia; Rodentia; Muridae. The record is from RefSeq and is a predicted model, not a curated record.